GAUGAACGCUGGCGGCGUGCCUAAUACAUGCAAGUCGAGCGAACGGAUGAGAAGCUUGCUUCUCUGAUGUUAGCGGCGGACGGGUGAGUAACACGUGGAUAACCUACCUAAAAGACUGGGAUAACUUCGGGAAACCGGAGCUAAUACCGGAUAAUAUUUUGAACCGCAUGGUUCAAAAGUGAAAGACGGUCUUGCUGUCACUUAUAGAUGGAUCCGCGCUGCAUUAGCUAGUUGGUAAGGUAACGGCUUACCAAGGCAACGAUGCAUAGCCGACCUGAGAGGGUGAUCGGCCACACUGGAACUGAGACACGGUCCAGACUCCUACGGGAGGCAGCAGUAGGGAAUCUUCCGCAAUGGGCGAAAGCCUGACGGAGCAACGCCGCGUGAGUGAUGAAGGUCUUCGGAUCGUAAAACUCUGUUAUUAGGGAAGAACAUAUGUGUAAGUAACUGUGCACAUCUUGACGGUACCUAAUCAGAAAGCCACGGCUAACUACGUG
This 497-nucleotide ribosomal RNA is filed under the name uncultured bacterium. RNAcentral's name for it is "partial 16S ribosomal RNA". It matches the Rfam family "Bacterial small subunit ribosomal RNA", at positions 28 to 507 of the family's 1533-position model. The record is from RNAcentral.